Molecule: ribosomal RNA, 434 nt
Filed under: uncultured Staphylococcus sp.
Lineage: Bacteria; Bacillati; Bacillota; Bacilli; Caryophanales; Staphylococcaceae
Description: bacterial SSU rRNA
Rfam family: Bacterial small subunit ribosomal RNA
Source: RNAcentral
CUCAGGAUGAACGCUGGCGGCGUGCCUAAUACAUGCAAGUCGAGCGAACAGAUAAGGAGCUUGCUCCUUUGACGUUAGCGGCGGACGGGUGAGUAACACGUGGGUAACCUACCUAUAAGACUGGAAUAACUCCGGGAAACCGGGGCUAAUGCCGGAUAACAUGUUGAACCGCAUGGUUCUACAGUGAAAGACGGUCUUGCUGUCACUUAUAGAUGGACCCGCGCCGUAUUAGCUAGUUGGUGGGGUAACGGCCUACCAAGGCGACGAUACGUAGCCGACCUGAGAGGGUGAUCGGCCACACUGGAACUGAGACACGGUCCAGACUCCUACGGGAGGCAGCAGUAGGGAAUCUUCCGCAAUGGGCGAAAGCCUGACGGAGCAACGCCGCGUGAGUGAUGAAGGUCUUCGGAUCGUAAAGCUCUGUUGUUAGGGAA